This 614-nucleotide ribosomal RNA is filed under the name uncultured Bacillota bacterium. RNAcentral describes it as "bacterial SSU rRNA". It matches the Rfam family "Bacterial small subunit ribosomal RNA", at positions 1 to 584 of the family's 1533-position model. Lineage: Bacteria; Bacillati; Bacillota. The record is from RNAcentral.
GGAUCCAGACUUUGAUUCUGGCUCAGGACGAACGCUGGCGGCGUGCCUAAUACAUGCAAGUCGAACGAAGCUUUCUUUCACCGAAUGCUUGCAUUCACCGAAAGAAGCUUAGUGGCGAACGGGUGAGUAACACGUAGGCAACCUGCCCAAAAGAGGGGGAUAACACUUGGAAACAGGUGCUAAUACCGCAUAACCAUGAACACCGCAUGAUGUUCAUGUAAAAGACGGCUUUUGCUGUCACUUUUGGAUGGGCCUGCGGCGUAUUAACUUGUUGGUGGGGUAACGGCCUACCAAGGUGAUGAUACGUAGCCGAACUGAGAGGUUGAUCGGCCACAUUGGGACUGAGACACGGCCCAAACUCCUACGGGAGGCAGCAGUAGGGAAUCUUCCACAAUGGACGAAAGUCUGAUGGAGCAACGCCGCGUGAAUGAAGAAGGCCUUCGGGUCGUAAAAUUCUGUUGUCAGAGAAGAACGUGCGUGAGAGUAACUGUUCACGUAUUGACGGUAUCUGACCAGAAAGCCACGGCUAACUACGUGCCAGCAGCCGCGGUAAUACGUAGGUGGCGAGCGUUGUCCGGAUUUAUUGGGCGUAAAGGGAACGCAGGCGGUCUUUU